Long non-coding RNA from Lepus europaeus (European hare), 342 nucleotides. RefSeq lists it as uncharacterized. Lineage: Eukaryota; Metazoa; Chordata; Mammalia; Lagomorpha; Leporidae. The transcript is spliced from 3 exons. The record is from RefSeq and is a predicted model, not a curated record.
AUUUUAAUAAUUAUUUUGCCUUUAACAUUGUGAAAAUAUUUUAUUAGAAUUAUACUUACGAUGGAAGAUUUUUUAUCUGUCUGGAAUUGAACAAUCUUACACCAUUGUGCCCUGGCACUUAUCACUACAGGUACAACCUGAGCAGAUGCCACAGUCAUUUGCAGACAACUUUCAUGCUCUCCACUAUGCUAUGGCCUGGGAAAGCAGUAGAGGAUGGCCCAAGUCCUUGGGCUCCUACACCCACAUGGCAGACCUGGAAGAAGCUCCUGGCUCUUGGCUUCAGAUCAGCGCAGCUCUGGCUGGAAUGGCCAUCUGUGGAGUGAACCAUGGGACGGAAGAUCU